AGGGGAGGCGUAGGGAAACCGAGUCUUAAUAGGGCGAUCAGUCGCUGGGAGUAGACCCGAAACCGGGCGAUCUAUCCAUGGGCAGGUUGAAGGUUGAGUAACAUCGACUGGAGGACCGAACCGACUACCGUUGAAAAGUUAGCGGAUGACCUGUGGAUCGGAGUGAAAGGCUAAUCAAGCCCGGAGAUAGCUGGUUCUCCUCGAAAGCUAUUUAGGUAGCGCCUCGUGUAUCACUGCUGGGGGUAGAGCACUGUUUCGGCUAGGGGGUCAUCCCGACUUACCAAACCGAUGCAAACUCCGAAUACCAGCAAGUGUCAGCACGGGAGACACACGGCGGGUGCUAACGUCCGUCGUGAAAAGGGAAACAACCCAGACCGUCAGCUAAGGUCCCAAAGUCAUGGUUAAGUGGGAAACGAUGUGGGAAGGCUUAGACAGCUAGGAGGUUGGCUUAGAAGCAGCCAUCCUUUAAAGAAAGCGUAAUAGCUCACUAGUCGAGUCGGCCUGCGCGG
This 509-nucleotide non-coding RNA is filed under the name Alcaligenes sp. EGD-AK7. RNAcentral describes it as "Bacterial large subunit ribosomal RNA". It matches the Rfam family "Bacterial large subunit ribosomal RNA", at positions 659 to 1166 of the family's 2925-position model. Lineage: Bacteria; Pseudomonadati; Pseudomonadota; Betaproteobacteria; Burkholderiales; Alcaligenaceae. The record is from Rfam by way of RNAcentral.